CAUAGUUUUAUUGUUUUUGUUUGAUGCAUAUCGAAGGGUAACAGGGAGAGCUUGCUUCCGCUGACGACCGGCGAACGGGUGCGUAACGCGUAUAGAAUCUGCCUUGUACAGGAGGAUAGCCUUUAGAAAUGAAGAUUAAUACUCCAUAAUAUUGAGAAGUGGCAUCGCUUUUUAAUUAAACAUUUAUGGGUACAAGAUGACUAUGCGUCCUAUUAGCUAGAUGGUAAGGUAACGGCUUACCAUGGCAACGAUAGGUAGGGGGUCUGAGAGGAUUAUCCCCCACACUGGUACUGAGACACGGACCAGACUCCUACGGGAGGCAGCAGUGAGGAAUAUUGGUCAAUGGAGGCAACUCUGAACCAGCCAUGCCGCGUGCAGGAUGACUGCCCUAUGGGUUGUAAACUGCUUUUAUACAGGAAGAAACAGUCGUACGUGUACGGCCUUGACGGUACUGUAAGAAUAAGCACCGGCUAACUCCGUGCCAGCAGCCGCGGUAAUACGGAGGGUGCAAGCGUUAUCCGGAAUCAUUGGGUUUAAAGGGUCCGCAGGCGGUCAAUUAAGUCAGAGGUGAAAUCCCAUAGCUUAACUAUGGAACUGCCUUUGAUACUGGUUGACUUGAGUUAUACGGAAGUAGAUAGAAUGUGUAGUGUAGCGGUGAAAUG
Molecule: ribosomal RNA, 662 nt
Filed under: Tenacibaculum sp. KR05-71
Lineage: Bacteria; Pseudomonadati; Bacteroidota; Flavobacteriia; Flavobacteriales; Flavobacteriaceae
Description: bacterial SSU rRNA
Rfam family: Bacterial small subunit ribosomal RNA
Source: RNAcentral